GACGGGUGAGUAACACGUGGGUAACCUGCCUGUAAGACUGGGAUAACUCCGGGAAACCGGGGCUAAUACCGGAUGCUUGAUUGAACCGCAUGGUUCAAUUAUAAAAGGUGGCUUUUAGCUACCACUUACAGAUGGACCCGCGGCGCAUUAGCUAGUUGGUGAGGUAACGGCUCACCAAGGCAACGAUGCGUAGCCGACCUGAGAGGGUGAUCGGCCACACUGGGACUGAGACACGGCCCAAACUCCUACGGGAGGCAGCAGUAGGGAAUCUUCCGCAAUGGACGAAAGUCUGACGGAGCAACGCCGCGUGAGUGAUGAAGGUUUUCGGAUCGUAAAACUCUGUUGUUAGGGAAGAACAAGUACCGUUCGAAUAGGGCGGUACCUUGACGGUACCUAACCAGAAAGCCACGGCUAACUACGUGCCAGCAGCCGCGGUAAUACGUAGGUGGCAAGCGNNUUNGUCCGGNAAUUAUUGGGCGUAAAGCGCGCGCAGGCGGUUUCUUAAGUCUGAUGUGAAAGCCCCCGGCUCAACCGGGGAGGGUCAUUGGAAACUGGGGAACUUGAGUGCAGAAGAGGAGAGUGGAAUUCCACGUGUAGCGGUGAAAUGCGUAGAGAUGUGGAGNGAACANCCANGNNUGGNCGAAGGCGACUCUCUGGUCUGUAACUGACGCUGAGGCGCGAAAGCGUGGGGAGCGAACAGGAUUAGAUACCCUGGUAGUCCACGCCGUAAACGAUGAGUGCUAAGUGUUAGAGGGUUUCCGCCCUUUAGUGCUGCAGCAAACGCAUUAAGCACUCCNGCCUGGGGNANGUACGGUCNGCAAGANCUGAAACUCAAAGGAANUUGACNGGGGGCCCGCACAAGCGGUGGNAGNCANUGUGGUUUAAUUCGAANGCAACNGCGAAGAACCUUACCNAGGUCUUGANCAUNNCCUCUNGACAACCCUAGAGAUAGGGCUUCCCCUUCGGGGGCANGAGUGACAGGUGGUGCAUGGUUGUNCGUCAGCNUCNGUGUCGUGNAGAUNGUUGGGUUAAGUCCCGCAACNGAGCGCAACCCUNUGAUCUNUANGUUGCCAGCAUUCAGUUGGGCACUCUAAGGUGACUGCCGGUGACAAACCGGAGGAAGGUGGGGANUNGACGNUCNANAAUCAUCAUGCCCCUUAUGA
RNAcentral lists this ribosomal RNA (1163 nucleotides) under uncultured Bacillus sp. Its description in RNAcentral is "partial 16S ribosomal RNA". It matches the Rfam family "Bacterial small subunit ribosomal RNA", at positions 100 to 1207 of the family's 1533-position model. The record is from RNAcentral. Lineage: Bacteria; Bacillati; Bacillota; Bacilli; Caryophanales; Bacillaceae.